GACGAACGCUGGCGGCGUGCUUAACACAUGCAAGUCGAACGGAAAGGCCCUGCUUUUGGGGGGUGCUCGAGUGGAGAACGGGUGAGUAACACGUGAGUAAGCUGCCAUUGACUUUGGGAUAACUUCAGGAAACUGGGGCUAAUACCGGAUCGGAGCUCCUGCUGAAUGGUGGGGGUUGGAAAGUUUCGGCGGUUGGGGGGUGACUCGCGGCUUAUCAGCGUGGUGGUGGGGUAGUGGCUUACCAAGGCUUUGACGGGUAGCCGGCCUGAGAGGGUGACCGGCCACAUUGGGACUGAGAUACGGCCCAGACUCCUCCGGGAGGCAGCAGUGGGGAAUAUUGCACAAUGGGCUGAAGCCUGAUGCAGCAACGCCGCGUGCGGGAUGACGGCCUUCGGGUUGUAAACCUCUUCCGCCUGUGACGAAGCGUGAGUGACGGUAAUGGGUAAAGAAGCACCGGCUAACUCCGUG
This 468-nucleotide ribosomal RNA is filed under the name uncultured bacterium. RNAcentral describes it as "partial 16S ribosomal RNA". It matches the Rfam family "Bacterial small subunit ribosomal RNA", at positions 28 to 507 of the family's 1533-position model. The record is from RNAcentral.